RNAcentral lists this ribosomal RNA (296 nucleotides) under uncultured fungus. RNAcentral describes it as "partial 18S ribosomal RNA". It matches the Rfam family "Eukaryotic small subunit ribosomal RNA", at positions 58 to 365 of the family's 1831-position model. Lineage: Eukaryota; Fungi. The record is from RNAcentral.
CCUANAUAAGCAUUANACAGCGANCUGCGAAUGGCUCAUUAUAUNCAGUUAUCGUUUAUUUGAUAGUACCUUACUACAUGGAUAACCGUGGUAAUUCUAGAGCUAAUACAUGCUAAAAAUCCCGACUUCGGAAGGGAUGUAUUUAUUAGAUUAAAAACCAAUGCCCUUCGGGGCUCCCUGGGGAAUCCUAGAAACUUCCCCAAACCCACGGGCCCCCCCCCGGGAAGGGUCCUUCCAAUUUCUUCCCUAUCAACUUUUCANGGCUNGGGAAUGGCCCUNUGGGUNGNAGGNAAGGG